This 340-nucleotide ribosomal RNA is filed under the name Hybogaster sp. (in: wasps, ants & bees). Its description in RNAcentral is "Hybogaster sp. (in: wasps) partial 16S ribosomal RNA". Lineage: Eukaryota; Metazoa; Arthropoda; Insecta; Hymenoptera; Braconidae. The record is from RNAcentral.
GUACAAAGGUAGCAUAAUAAUUUGUUUUUUAAUUAAAAACUNGAANGAAAGAUUUGANGAAAUNUAAACNGUUUCAAUAAAAUUAAUAUAUUAAAUUUUUUAUUUAAGUAAAAAAACUUAAAUAAUAUUUAAAGACGAUAAGACCCUAUAGAAUUUUAUUUAUUUUAUUUUUUUUUAAAAAUAAAAUAAAUUUUANGGGGGUAAUAAAAAAAUUUAAAAAAUUUUUUUUUAAUAUAACAUUAUAAUUGAAUAUUUAAUCUAAUAUUAUUAAUUAAAAAAAUUAAUUACCUUAGGGANAACAGCAUAAUUUUUUUUANAAGAUCUUAUUAAUAAAAAAGAU